Molecule: ribosomal RNA, 253 nt
Filed under: uncultured bacterium
Lineage: Bacteria
Description: partial 16S ribosomal RNA
Rfam family: Bacterial small subunit ribosomal RNA
Source: RNAcentral
GACGGAGGAUGCAAGCGUUAUCCGGAAUUAUUGGGCGUAAAGCGUCCGCAGGUGGCUGUUCAAGUCUGCUGUCAAAGCGCAGAGCUUAACUCUGUACAGGCGGUGGAAACUGAAGAGCUAGAGUAUGGUAGGGGUAGAGGGAAUUUCCAGUGGAGCGGUGAAAUGCGUAGAGAUUGGAAAGAACACCGAUGGCGAAGGCACUUUACUGGGCUAUUACUAACACUCAGAGACGAAAGCUAGGGUAGCAAAUGGG